This 30-nucleotide non-coding RNA is filed under the name Mus musculus (house mouse). The record is from RNAcentral. Lineage: Eukaryota; Metazoa; Chordata; Mammalia; Rodentia; Muridae.
UACUAGGGAAAAUGCCAGCUACAAAGACAC